Molecule: ribosomal RNA, 371 nt
Filed under: uncultured organism
Description: bacterial SSU rRNA
Rfam family: Bacterial small subunit ribosomal RNA
Source: RNAcentral
CGUAGGGUGCGAGCGUUAAUCGGAAUUACUGGGCGUAAAGCGUGCGCAGGCGGUUUUGUAAGACAGAUGUGAAAUCCCCGGGCUCAACCGGGGACCUGCAUUUGUGACUGCAAGGCUAGAGUACGGUAGAGGGGGAUGGAAUUCCGCGUGUAGCAGUGAAAUGCGUAGAUAUGCGGAGGAACACCGAUGGCGAAGGCAAUCCCCUGGACCUGUACUGACGCUCAUGCACGAAAGCGUGGGGAGCAAACAGGAUUAGAUACCCUGGUAGUCCACGCCCUAAACGAUGUCAACUGGUUGUUGGGUCUUUACUGACUCAGUAACGAAGCUAACGCGUGAAGUUGACCGCCCUGGGGAGUACGGCCGCAAGGUUG